Bactrocera dorsalis (oriental fruit fly) is the source of this 156-nucleotide small nucleolar RNA. NCBI's taxonomy places the organism in Eukaryota, Metazoa, Arthropoda, Insecta, Diptera, Tephritidae. The record is from RefSeq and is a predicted model, not a curated record.
CAUUUGACCGUCCAUAACUAAAACCGUAUGAACUUAAUCUUUGGUAUGUACGGUAUUCAAUUGGACCAUAAAAAACUUAUGAUUAACUAUUCCUCUUAAGGAUAUCGCCUUAAAGAUAUACUCCUUAAUAAAGUGAAAAACCAACAGUAAAUCAUA